UUCUGGUUCUUGCUAUCACAAUGUGUCUUGUGAUGGGUAUUGCCUAGCUGUUUUAGAACACAGGUUGGCCAUCUGUUUCUUUAUUGGAUCAUAUAGGAAAUAUUUUAGGUUUUGAAGGCCAUAGAAUUUCUAUUGCAAGGAAAUUCUCAUUUUAGUACAAAAGCACCAAGGGAAAGCUUAUAAAGAAAUGUUUUGUUGUGUUCCAGUCAAACUGAUGUACACAAAUAGAGGAUUGAUUAGUUCAUGCCUAUUUUGCCAAAUCCUGGCCUAGAAUAAAGAAAAUCUGCUACUUGUGGGCCUGCCAUAAAGAUGUGCUGUGCAAGCUCAUAGGCCUCUCAGGUUUGUGAGGGAAAAAUUCCUAUUCCCUCAGUGUGUUUUCAUUCAUUAAAACUUCAUCAUGUGCCUGUAAUGCCAAUUACUUGGAAUACUGAGGAAGGAGGUUCUGAGUUUAAGGGCAUAGGCAAUUUAGGAAGACCCUGUCUCAAAUUAAAAUAUGAAAAGGGCUGUGGACAUAGCUCAGGAGUAGAGUGCUUCUGGAUUCAAUCCCCCAUAAGGUGGAGAAGGAACAAACUAACAAAAACUCAUUUAAUCUUGGGUUUCAUGUUGUGCAGAUUUGCUAUGAUGUAACUAAGGUAGCAGGUGAAAUUGUUUCUGUUACAAGGAAGUGAUUGUAUCAUUGUGGAAAUUAUUUCAUUUAGAAUAUUUCUCUCUUUUCUGCCACAUGUUCUGG
This 730-nucleotide long non-coding RNA is filed under the name Marmota monax (woodchuck). The record is from RNAcentral. Lineage: Eukaryota; Metazoa; Chordata; Mammalia; Rodentia; Sciuridae.